RNAcentral lists this ribosomal RNA (765 nucleotides) under uncultured Streptococcus sp. Its description in RNAcentral is "bacterial SSU rRNA". It matches the Rfam family "Bacterial small subunit ribosomal RNA", at positions 28 to 776 of the family's 1533-position model. Lineage: Bacteria; Bacillati; Bacillota; Bacilli; Lactobacillales; Streptococcaceae. The record is from RNAcentral.
GACGAACGCUGGCGGCGUGCCUAAUACAUGCAAGUAGAACGCUGAAGCUUGGUGCUUGCACCGAGCGGAUGAGUUGCGAACGGGUGAGUAACGCGUAGGUAACCUGCCUGGUAGCGGGGGAUAACUAUUGGAAACGAUAGCUAAUACCGCAUAAAAUGGAUUAUCGCAUGAUAAUUCAUUGAAAGGUGCAAAUGCAUCACUACCAGAUGGACCUGCGUUGUAUUAGCUAGUUGGUGGGGUAACGGCUCACCAAGGCGACGAUACAUAGCCGACCUGAGAGGGUGAUCGGCCACACUGGGACUGAGACACGGCCCAGACUCCUACGGGAGGCAGCAGUAGGGAAUCUUCGGCAAUGGACGGAAGUCUGACCGAGCAACGCCGCGUGAGUGAAGAAGGUUUUCGGAUCGUAAAGCUCUGUUGUAAGAGAAGAACGAGUGUGAGAGUGGAAAGUUCACACUGUGACGGUAUCUUACCAGAAAGGGACGGCUAACUACGUGCCAGCAGCCGCGGUAAUACGUAGGUCCCGAGCGUUGUCCGGAUUUAUUGGGCGUAAAGCGAGCGCAGGCGGUUAGAUAAGUCUGAAGUUAAAGGCUGUGGCUUAACCAUAGUACGCUUUGGAAACUGUUUAACUUGAGUGCAAGAGGGGAGAGUGGAAUUCCAUGUGUAGCGGUGAAAUGCGUAGAUAUAUGGAGGAACACCGGUGGCGAAAGCGGCUCUCUGGCUUGUAACUGACGCUGAGGCUCGAAAGCGUGGGGAGCAAACAGG